This 501-nucleotide ribosomal RNA is filed under the name uncultured bacterium. Its description in RNAcentral is "bacterial SSU rRNA". It matches the Rfam family "Bacterial small subunit ribosomal RNA", at positions 791 to 1289 of the family's 1533-position model. The record is from RNAcentral.
UAGUCCACGCCGUAAACUAUGGAUACUAGGUGUUUGGGAAGUUAACCUCCUGAGUACUGAAGCUAACGCAUUAAGUAUCCCGCCUGGGGAGUACGGUCGCAAGAUUAAAACUCAAAGGAAUUGACGGGGGCCUGCACAAGCGGUGGAGCAUGUGGCUUAAUUCGACGCAACGCGCAGAACCUUACCAGCUUUUGACAUCCUGGUCGCGGAUUUGGGAGACCAUUUCCUUCAGUUCGGCUGGACCAGUGACAGGUGCUGUAUGGCUGUCGUCAGCUCGUGUCGUGAGAUGUUGGGUUAAGUCCCGCAACGAGCGCAACCCUCAUCCUUAGUUGCCAGCAUUUAGUUGGGCACUCUAAGGAAACUGCCGGUGAUAAGCCGGAGGAAGGUGGGGAUGACGUCAAGUCCUCAUGGCCCUUACAAGCUGGGCUACACACGUGCUACAAUGGCGAUGACAGUGAGCAGCUAACCCGCGAGGGCAAGCUAAUCUCUAAAAGUCGUACU